GCGGCGUAUGGUGGAGCGACGCAGCUGUGGCUGGCCGGUGGCGGGGGCCGGGAUCCAGUGGCUACAGCGGCUGGACGACGGUGGGAAGCGCAGAUGGGCUCCUUGGUGAGCUUCCUUGGUGGUUAGCGGCGGCCCUUGGGAUUUCUCCUUGCCGGUGGAUAGGUGUGUGUUGGUGCCUCGCGUGGAGCUGCGUCUGCCGCCGAGGUGGGGCGACACAGGGGCUGUCCUGUGGGGAGGCAGGCUGGAGGGAUGGGAGGCGCCGCCGAGCUCGGGCCACCCGUCGCCGACAAAGGGGUGUGCCGGUCGUGGAUGCGUCCGCUCCCACUCCCCCCUUUCCCCGUCCGUGUGUGUGCUUCGGCGUUGUUCGAGGCAGGACGUAUGUUGCGGUCUCUUCAGUCGGGUGCGUCCGUUGGCCCAAAGUCGGUCACUUUGGUCGGUCUUGGGGGUGUCUGGAUGUAGGGCGGCGGGAGGCACCGCGUUCGUGGGCGGAACUUGCGUCUCGGGUGCGGGCAAGCAGCCAUGGCCACGCGGGUGGGUGGUCCCUGGUGGUUGGCGGAGGGGUGGGAGUGCUGGGGUACAUCACUUGCCCAAUCGUUGUAUUGGCCGACGGCGGCGGCGGCCGUGGACGCCGUAUCCUUCAUGAAGGCUCCGUCGCGGUGUCCCUACUCCUUCGUGAUGCUUUGGGUGAAAACACGAUCUUCAAGAUCAUAUGGUGGCGGCUAUAGCUCCAAACGGUUCUUCUUCGCUCAUUUGUAGUGGCUUUGUAUUCGUUGGGGUGGCGUGGCGGUGCUCAGCACCUUUAUAUCUUGCCUUGUGUGUGUGUGUUGUGUGCGGUGGUGGCGUGAGUUUGUAUCAUUGUGCUUGUGGGUCGGUGCUUUAUAUAUAAAGCAGGGCGAAAGCCUUUUUGGAUAAUCCUUUGGCAUCUCUUUGUUAUCAGUAUACCCUGAUGAUACCAAGCAAUGCAGCAAGCAAGAUUUGUAACUGAGUAGGUUAAAUUUAUGGACUUUAAGAAUAACAAGAAGGCUUAGGCGCUCUGCUAGAAUAGUACCUGCUAGAAAUAUUUUUGUUCGUUUGUAAAGCAUAGAGAAGAUGAAUGUCUUUACCUCUUUGGAUCACGAGCUGAAUUAGAGGCUUAUAACAAUAGGUGGUGAAUGACGGUGUGUCCUUGGAAGUACCGGUGUCUUGUUUGUUAUAGGGAACCAACACAUCGCUUCAUUACACGCAUUGCAUACUUUUGUUGAUGGGGACUCUACGAUGGUGCUGACUAACACCGGAUGCCUUCUUUGAUGUCACCUCUUUCUAGUUUAAAAAACAAAUCAUGUAGGAUCAGUUCGCCCUAGUGUUAUGAAAGAAUUGAGCAAACAAGGGUUAUGUUGUCAAGCAAGUAAGUUCAAUCAUCUUAUUUGUUUAUGUGCCGGUGGCAAUUUGCUCUAUUUGUAGGCAAUAUGGUGUCUUGCUUGUGUUGGUGGAAUUUGCCUUAUUUGUAGGCAAAGGCGGUGAUCUUAUAUUUGCUAAUAUGUGGUUCCUCAACAUGUGAGUUCAUAAUAUUUUUUAUGGUGGUCAUAUUUGUUAGAGUUAUAUUGAUGAUGGAUUUUUGGCCUUUUGUAUUCUAGUCUUUUGGCAUUUUCUUGUACAUUUUAUAUAUGCAGCUUUGGUCCACUAUUAAUACAAGUUGCAUCGUAACAUGAUAUAAUGAGCCUAGGUUUAGGAAAAAGAAGUCGGGUGCUGCAACUCGCCCUCCCGACGAUCUCCUCGUCUCCGUCCGAUCGAUCGAAGUCUCCUCAACGCUCGCGUGCUAUCUGAUCCUUCCGAUCCGCCGGCCGGCCAUCUCGCUUCG
RNAcentral lists this long non-coding RNA (1837 nucleotides) under Triticum aestivum (bread wheat). Its description in RNAcentral is "long non-coding RNA (TAES_LNC022372)". The record is from RNAcentral. Lineage: Eukaryota; Viridiplantae; Streptophyta; Magnoliopsida; Poales; Poaceae.